Molecule: long non-coding RNA, 1403 nt
Filed under: Pongo abelii (Sumatran orangutan)
Lineage: Eukaryota; Metazoa; Chordata; Mammalia; Primates; Hominidae
Description: lincRNA
Source: RNAcentral
UAAACAUAGAAAAAUAGCAAAUUAGAGACAGUGGGUAUUAACAAUUGCAUAUAUCACAAUAAAUGUAUGUUUAAUCUCAGGAAUGCAUGGCAGUUCUAUCUUUAGAAAAUGUAUUUUUUGUAUUUUUAUCAAUUUAGAGAUGCCCUUUUGAAAAAACGUAUUACAAAUUGGAAUGUUCAAAGGGCAGCUGUUUUAUUUUCAUCCUUGCUGAAACAUAAAAUAAUGACAUGUUUUAAAAUUGAUAGAAUCUUUGAUUUGAUCAAAUAUGGUAAUGUAAUUUGCCAUUCUAACAGAUCAAAAUCAGAAUCAGUAUGAUCAUCUAUCUUGAUUUGCAAGAAGCAUUUGAUAAAAUGCAAAAUCCAUUUAUGAAAAAGCUCUUGGCAAAGGAGAAACAGCAAAGAAUUUUUAAAAUAUAAAGGGUGUGUACAAAACUGUAGUGACCACCUUACUGAAAGGUCAAACUUGUUCCCUUUCAGCUUGAGAAUAGGACAGAGCUUCAUAUUAAGACCACCACAUCUACUCAUCUUUGAGCUGGUGAUUCUCACCAACACAUCUAAGCAUGAAAGGAAUAAAAAUUAUAAGAUAAAAAGGAAACAAAACUCUCAUUACUUAAAGAUGAUAUAAUUACAUAGAAAAUCAAGAAGAUUCCAUGGAUAGGCUUCCCGAAAAACAAUAUGUAACAUACCAGCAACAAAUGGUAAGAAAAACAGGUUGUUUUUUUUUCUUAAAGUACAUUUUCAGUGACAUUAAAUAAUAAGGAUUCAGGAAUACAAUGAAUAUAACAAAAAUCUAAGCUAUCUAGGAAUGCAUAUAACAAAAAAAUUAUAAAGCUUCAUUUAAAACAUUUUUAAACAAAAUAAGUAGAAAGUAAUACCAUCUUUGUGGAACAGAGUCAGUAUUGUAAAUGUGUCAGUUUUCUUCAACUGGCCCAUAGACAACACAAUUUUAACUAAAAUUCCAAUUGGGAUUUCUGUGGAACUUGAUUAGUUAGGGCCAAAAGUAAUCAAGAUAUUCGUGAGGAAGGAUAACAGAAUGGCAAAACUUGCUUUAAUAAUUUGUGCAGGGAUAGACAAAUACUGUACACCAGUCUCUCAAUAGGGAGAUCAAAACCAAAUUCACAGACAUGAAAAGUCGAUUUAUGACAGAUGAUGUUGCAGUCCCUGGGGAAAGAAUGGAAAUGGUGCUAGAAUAAUUGGUUUAUAUAUGUGUUUCUAUAUAUGUAUAUGCCAUUACAUUAAAGUCAAUGCCUGUGGAGUUUGGGAGGAGUGAUCAAAAUGUUCUGGAAUUAGAUGUGAUGUUUGCACAACUCUGUGAAUAUACUAAGAACCACUGAAUUGUAUAUUUUUAAAGCAUGGUAUGUGAAUAAUAUCUCAAUAAAGCUGUUAUAAAAAAUAUUUUAAAAA